GGUAGGUGAACCUGCGGGAAGGAUCAUUAUU
This 31-nucleotide ribosomal RNA is filed under the name Ceratobasidium sp. AG-A. RNAcentral's name for it is "partial 18S ribosomal RNA". The record is from RNAcentral. Lineage: Eukaryota; Fungi; Basidiomycota; Agaricomycetes; Cantharellales; Ceratobasidiaceae.